RNAcentral lists this ribosomal RNA (383 nucleotides) under uncultured bacterium. RNAcentral's name for it is "partial 16S ribosomal RNA". It matches the Rfam family "Bacterial small subunit ribosomal RNA", at positions 551 to 928 of the family's 1533-position model. The record is from RNAcentral.
UUAUUGGGCUUAAGCGCUCGUGAGGCGGCUUAUCCAGUCAAAGUGUGAAAUCUCCCGGCUUAACCGUUGAAACUGCCUUUGAUACUUGUUGUCUUGAGUGCGGUAGGGGCAUAUGGAAUUCCCGGWGGAGAGGUGAAAUUCGUAGAUAUCUGRAGGAACGCCAGAGGCGAAAGCACUCUGCUGGGCCUMUUCUGACGCUGACGCACGAAAGCUAGGGGAUCAGACAGGGAUUAGAUACCCCGUGUAGUCCUAGCCCUAAACUAUGGAUACUAAAUGUUGCACUUCUCUGRRYUCGCAGUGCWGCCACUAAYGYUAAUAUACCUCCCCCGGGGAGUAGUGGGCCCACGGSKGARACUCUCAGGAGUUUUGGGGGGAGCACACAA